Molecule: ribosomal RNA, 456 nt
Filed under: Parvimonas micra
Lineage: Bacteria; Bacillati; Bacillota; Tissierellia; Tissierellales; Peptoniphilaceae
Description: bacterial SSU rRNA
Rfam family: Bacterial small subunit ribosomal RNA
Source: RNAcentral
GACGAACGCUGGCGGCGUGCUUAACACAUGCAAGUCGAACGUGAUUUUUGUGGAAAUUCUUUCGGGAAUGGAAAUGAAAUGAAAGUGGCGAACGGGUGAGUAACACGUGAGCAACCUACCUUACACAGGGGGAUAGCCGUUGGAAACGACGAUUAAUACCGCAUGAGACCACAGAAUCGUAUGAUAUAGGGGUCAAAGAUUUAUCGGUGUAAGAAGGGCUCGCGUCUGAUUAGCUAGUUGGAAGGGUAAAGGCCUACCAAGGCGACGAUCAGUAGCCGGUCUGAGAGGAUGAACGGCCACAUUGGAACUGAGACACGGUCCAAACUCCUACGGGAGGCAGCAGUGGGGAAUAUUGCACGAUGGGGGGAACCCUGAUGCAGCGACGCCGCGUGAGCGAAGAAGGUUUUCGAAUCGUAAAGCUCUGUCCUAGAGAAGAUAAGACGGUAUCUAGGAGGA